This 449-nucleotide ribosomal RNA is filed under the name uncultured bacterium. Its description in RNAcentral is "bacterial SSU rRNA". It matches the Rfam family "Bacterial small subunit ribosomal RNA", at positions 354 to 796 of the family's 1533-position model. The record is from RNAcentral.
GUCGAGAAUCUUUCACAAUGGGGGCAACCCUGAUGGAGCGACGCCGCGUGGAGGAUAAGGUCUUCGGAUUGUAAACUCCUGUCAUGUGUGAACAAGGUUGCGGGGCUAAUACCUUUGCAAAUUGAUGGUAACACAAGAGGAAGAGACGGCUAACUCUGUGCCAGCAGCCGCGGUAAUACAGAGGUCUCAAGCGUUGUUCGGAAUCACUGGGCGUAAAGGGUGCGUAGGUGGCGUGGUAAGUCAGAUGUGAAAGCCCGGGGCUCAACCUCGGAAUUGCAUCCGAUACUGCCAUGCUCGAGUACUGAAGAGGUGACUAGAAUUCUAGGUGUAGCAGUGAAAUGCGUAGAUAUCUAGAGGAAUACCAAAGGCGAAGGCAGGUCACUGGGCAGUUACUGACACUGAGGCACGAAGGCCAGGGGAGCGAACGGGAUUAGAUACCCGAGUAGUCC